This is a long non-coding RNA of Penaeus indicus, 221 nucleotides long. RefSeq lists it as uncharacterized. NCBI's taxonomy places the organism in Eukaryota, Metazoa, Arthropoda, Malacostraca, Decapoda, Penaeidae. The record is from RefSeq and is a predicted model, not a curated record. The transcript is spliced from 2 exons.
UGUGUUUGUAUGUGAUGAAUUAGGCCUUGUCCCUAGUGUUGACGUAUAAAUGAAGGAAGGGCGUCUCACGAAAGGGGGGCCAUCACAGGUUAUAGAACAGUUUGAGAGUGAAUACUGGCUCGACAACACGUACAUAAGGACCGAUCUGUGGACUUCUGUUAAAGGCCUUGACUGUUCCCGCUAUGCGUUUGACCGCAUUCAAAUAAAUUGAGAAGCGAGUA